RNAcentral lists this long non-coding RNA (4805 nucleotides) under Sus scrofa (pig). RNAcentral's name for it is "lncRNA (ENSSSCG00000059356.1)". The record is from RNAcentral. Lineage: Eukaryota; Metazoa; Chordata; Mammalia; Artiodactyla; Suidae.
AUUAGGCCUGUGGGGAAGAUGCUUUUGUCAUGGGACCUUCUUGGUGUGCCUUUAAUCAGAUAGGCAGAUGGGUGGGGGAUUUUGGUCAUGGUCUUCCAUAGACAUUAGUAUUAGGGUUUAUUGUAUGUCUACAAAUCUUAGGAGGCUUUGGACCCCUUCCAGUUGUACAGAGCUAUUUCACAUGUAUGCUGUCCCUUGGAGGAAGGUCCACAGGUUUCAUCAGAUACUUAGUAGGAUGCACGGUAUUCUGCAUUUUAAGACCUGCAGCUUUGCAGAGCUCUUACACUUGUACCUUGGAUCCUUUAUUAACAUUCUGUAGGACCCCAUCCUCCCUGGGUUUUGAGAGGAGUCAGAACGAGGAUAGCUGAAUUAGUAGGAUGAUGUCUUUUCUUUUCUCUUUCUCUGUUUCUGCAAGUUGUUUAUCAUGUACUCAUUGUGCUUGGAUCUCAGUUUUUUUCCAGAAGGAAAAUCUUUAAAAAUAUUUGCAAGAACAAUGUGAGGUUGAUAGAUGCAAACUGUUACAUUUAGAAUGGAUAAGCAAUGAGGUCCUGCUGUAAAGCGCAGGGAUCUAUGUCCCAUCUCUUGAUAUAGAACAUGAUGGAAGAUAGUAUGAGAAAAAGAAUGUAUAUAUAUACAUAUAUAUGUAUGACUGAUUCACUAUGCUGUACAGUAGAAAUGGACACAACAUGGUAAAUCAAUUAUACUUUAAUAAAAGAGAAUGAUAUAUAUUUGUUGUUAAGUGAAACACCGCAGUGUUGCAAGUAUAAGUUGAAAUUCUCCUAAUCCCAUACUAGGUCUACUUCUAGUACUUUAGUGUAUAUCCUUUUACACUGAUUACAUUGUUAAUACAUUUAUGUUUUAACUUUUAUAAUGGAAAAUAAUAAAGCUGGACAAGGGAGAAAAUGCUUGUUGAACAACUGAAUGAAAGAGUACUUAUUUUUGUGGUCACUUCUUAUUUCCCAUUCCAAGUGCAUUCGGGGAAGGGUCAUGGCAACUACGACAUCUGCAACAACAGGUGACAUUAAGUGCUAACUAACAUUGUGCUCACUGUUUUACAUGCCUAAUUUUAAGCCUCACAAGAACUCUGUGAUUCUAUUCUAACUUUAAAAAUUUUAAUUUUUAUUAUUUUAAAGUUUUAAUUUUAUUAUUAUUUUUUACUGGAGAAUAGUUGAUGUUGCAAUUUUUUUUGACAGAUUGAGAAACUGAGGUGCAGAUAAAUGAAGGAACUUGCUUGAGUUAAGUGGCAGAUUUCAAGGCUUGCUGGCAGUAGGACCCACCAUUUUAGUUUUCCAUCCUAGCUCUGGCAGGGUAUCAAGACAAUACAGGAGUAGUGUUUGAGGAGAAAAAGGCAAUAUUUGCCUCUCCCUGAGUUCUUUACUGGUCUGAGUUCACAGAGUAUAGUCCUCUUAACCUCUGCUCUUGUCCCCAGGGCCUUUAAUUUGAGGAAGGAAUGGAUUGAACUCAAUGCAAAUGAUAUUAAUCCAGCUUCCUCAAAACGAUGGUCCAGAAAAACCCAGAGGGGGGUACCAAAAUUGAACUGUGCAUCCCUGAAAUUCUCAUAUCAAAUUACUUUUAAAAUGGCUAUGUUAAUGCCUUCCACGGCACAGGAACUUUCCAAGCAGGAUUGGGACCUGCAGCUAGAUCAGGGAGAAGGAAGUUAAUGAUGUGAUGUGGUAGCCAGUGGAAGCUGGGACUUCGGUCCUGGUUAUUAAUGAUAGUCAUAAUGAUGAUGAUAAAUGGAGUGUAUUUGUUGGAUUUUAGCAAAGUCUUAAUUACAAGAUGAACACAAAGGAAGACAUCCUCUUUCUAACAAAACCGUUAGUAUAUGAAUGAUGAUCCCUGAAUACUUGUCCAUUGCCUGUGCUCUGGUCUGAAUAAACAGAGGCAGCUUCCUGAUUCUACUCUGGGAAGACUGGUGAGCAGGUCAAUUCCAGGUUGAGAACUCUACAAACAAGAGGUAUUUUUAAAAAAUGCCACUCUUAGGCCGCUAAAGUUUUGGGCAAUAAAAUAUCUUGCAUUUGAGAAUUUUAUAACACAGGAUCCUUGGAAAGUACCUUAUUCAGAUUCCUCAUUUAUUUACUGACGAUAACCUGAGGCCAAAAGGGAAGAGAUGACUUGCCCAAGCACAUACAGUCGCAGGGUCAAGACUCCAAAUGCCCAGACCUUCACUAUACACCUUUUCAUUUAUUCAGUGUUGCCUCCCUAGGUUUGGACUAUAAAUUGUCUUGCUUUAAUGGGAAGCUGCUUUACCCUGUUAAGAGCCCACCCUUCCAGGCUGUUUGAUUCUCACCUUUCACUGCCCUUGAACUAUUUCAGUACUUAAAAAAUUACAGAUAGCAGAUAGCAAAGCAAAAUAAUUCUUGUCUUCCUGACACGCAAAUGAAUUAUGUCUACCGGUGGGAUAACCCUCCCCCUCCCCCCACCCCAUGCAAAUAUCAGUUUCAUGUCCAUUUCCACAUUCAUUUAAGAAUGCAUUCUUUUAAGUAACCCAAUUUUUGCCUCUUCAAACUUUCCCUUGAACUGGUUAUUUCAUCUCCCCUGUUUGCUCACUUAAGUAAUGACUUAAAUAAUAAAUAAAAUGUAACGUGUUAUUUUUGCGUAUAUGAGUCACAAUUUUACUUUUUUUUUUUUUUCUUUUUAGGGCCUCAUCCAUGGCAUACGGAAGUUCCCAGGCUAGGGGUUGAAUUGGAGCUGCAACUGCCGGCCUAUGCCACAGCCGUACCAAUGCCAGAUCCAAGCUGCAUCUGUGACCUACACCACAGCUCACGGCAACGCUGGAUCCUUAACCCACUGAGUGAGGCCAGGAAUUGAACCUGCAUCCUCAUGGAUACUAAUCAGGUUCAUUAUCGUAGAGCCACAAUGUGAACAUCUCACAAUUUUACUUUUUUAUUUUUAUUUUUUUGCUGGAAAUUAUGUUAAUACCACCAUCUUCAUAGUUUGGGACAUAUCUAAGAACUGUCUUUUACUAAACAGCUUUCUUGAAAUUAAUUCACUUUAAAAUACUUGAAGUGGAGUUCCUGUUGUGGCUCAGCAGAAACAAAUCUGACUAGUAUCCAUGAGGAUGAGUGUUCGAUCCUUGGCUUUGCUUAGUGGGUCUGGAAUCCAGUGUUGCCGUGAGCUGUGGUAUAGACCACAGAUGUGGCUCAUGUCCCAUGUUGCUGUGGCUGUGGUGUACACAAGCAGCUGUAGCUCCAACUUGACUCCUAGCCUGGGAGCUUCCGCAUGCCGCAGGUGUGACUCUAAAAAAAAGAGAGUGUUUUUAUGACAUAUUCAAUUUCAUUUCUAGUGAUUGGUCAGUUCAGUUGAUCUAUUUCUUCAUGGUUCAGCUUUGGCAGUCUGUAAGUCUCUAGAAAGUUGUCCAUUUCUUCUAGGUUGUCAAAUUUGUUGGUACAAUUUUUCAUAGUAUUCUCUCAUGGUUUUUUGUAUUUCUGUAGUAUCCAUUAUAACUUCUCUUUUUUUCAUUUCUUAUUUUGUUUAUUUGGGUUUUUUCUCUCCUCUUCUUGGAGAGUUAGCCAGAUAUUUGUCAAUUUUGUUUACCUUUUCAAAGAAUGAGCUCUUAGUUUUAAUUUUUUCUGUUGAUUUUUAAAUCUAUUUUAUUGAUGUCCUCUUUGAUCUUUAUGAUUUUCUUCUUUCUGCUGACUUUAGGCUUUGUUUGUUCUUCUUUUUCUAAUUCAUUUAGGUGGUGGGUUAAGUUGUCAAUUUGGGAUUUUUCUUCUUUUUUGAGGAAGGCCUAUAUUGUUAUGAAUUUCCCUCUGAGCACUGCUUUUGUGGCAUCCCAUAGAUUUUGAGUGGUUAUGUCUUUAUUAUCAUUUCUAUCCAAAUAGGAAGAGAAGAGCUAAAACUGUCACUAUCUGCAGAUGACAUGGUACCAUAUAAAGAAAACCCCAAGGACUCAACCCAAAAACUACUUGAGCUGAUCAACAAAUUCAGCAAAGUAGCAGGAUAUGAGAUUAACAUUCAGAAAUCAGUCACAUUUCUGUAUACUAACAAAGAAAUAUUAGAAAAGGAAUAUAAAAAAAUGCAAUACCUUUUAAAAUUGCACCCCCCAAAAAAUCAAAUACCUGGGAAUACACCUGACCAAGGAGGUAAACGACUUACAUGCCUAGAACUAUAAAACAUUAAUCAAGGAAAUUAAAGAAGAUGUAAAGAAAUGGAAAGAUACUCCAUGCUUCUGUGGUGGAAAAAUUAAUAUUGUAAAAAUGGACAUACUACCCAAAGCAAUCUACAGAUUCAGACAAUCCCUAUCAAGUUGCCCAUGACAUUUUUCACAGAACUACAACAAACAAUCCAAAAAUUAUUUGGAACCACAAAAGACCCAGAAUUGCUAAAGCAAUUCUGAGAAAUAAAAACCAAGCAGGAGGCUAACUCUUCCAGACUUCAGACAAUAUUACAAAGCCGCAGUCAUCAAGACAGUGUGGUACUGGUACCAAAACCAGACAUACAGACCAAUGGAACAGAAUAGAGAACCCAGAAACAAACCCAGAUACCUAUGGCCAAUUAAUCUUUGACAAAGGAGGCAAGAACAUAAAAUAGGAUAAAGACAGUCUUUUCAGCAAGUAUUGCCAGGAAACCUGGACAGCUGCAUGCAAAUCAAUGAAGCUAGAGCACACCCUCACACCAUGCAUGAAAAUAAACUCAAAAUGGCUUAAAGACUUAAAAAUAAAACAAGACACCAUCAAACUCCUGGAAGAGAACAUAGGCAAGACAUUCUCUGACAUCAAUCUUAUGAAUAUUUUCUCAGGUCAGUCUCCCAAAGCAACAGAAAUAAAAGCAAAAAUAAACCAAUGGAACCUAACCAAACUGAC